UCCCCCGGCCCGGCUUGGCGCUGCUGCUGCUGCGGCUCGGGACCGGUGGCCCUGUUUCUGCUGGAGAAACACAAGGUCCGCAGCGGGGCUGCCUCCUGUCCACCCUGUAUGGCUUCAAGGGAUAUCAGUGAUUCUCAAUCAGAGUGCCAUGGCACCCAUGCAUACCUCAAGAUCCUUUGAAGGGUGCCAUAAGGUAUGAGGUGAUAAGAAAAGAAGCACAGAUCAGCUUCUUUCCUGCAUGGCCCCUCUACAAGGAGUUUUUCAGUAAGAAAUCUGGUUCCUCUCUAUGUUCCAUGUAAUCUGUGCACCAAGCCUUCGACAUACCACCACAGCAAAUGUUUC
This is a long non-coding RNA of Alligator mississippiensis (American alligator), 342 nucleotides long. RefSeq lists it as uncharacterized. The record is from RefSeq and is a predicted model, not a curated record. The transcript is spliced from 3 exons. NCBI's taxonomy places the organism in Eukaryota, Metazoa, Chordata, Crocodylia, Alligatoridae.